Long non-coding RNA from Cygnus atratus (black swan), 843 nucleotides. RefSeq lists it as uncharacterized. The transcript has 4 exons. The record is from RefSeq and is a predicted model, not a curated record. NCBI's taxonomy places the organism in Eukaryota, Metazoa, Chordata, Aves, Anseriformes, Anatidae.
AUUGUUUCUUUCGUGAAAAGUGUUAGAAGAAACUUCUGUAAAAAUGAAGGGCUGUUUGUACAGGUUGAAUUUAGCCAGGGAAAUUAACCUCUCUUUGUUUAUUCUUUAGCCAAUGAGAUGAGAUAACUUUUUCUACAAUCCAUAACAGCUGAAAUAUUGUGUAAAGGAACCUGUCUGCCCUGAUUUACUAGGAAAGUAAAGAUUUACUCUGGAAAUUUAUUGCCCUGGGAAAGAGGUGAGCAAGUAGAUGUCUUGCAUAAAGCUGGAGGAUGAGUACCAAGCUCCAGGAUUGCAUUUACUUUCCAGGCUCAUGAAACCCUGGUUGCCUGCUAUCACAAUCCUUUGUCCCACCUAGUCCAAGGAAGAACACUCAUCAACAGGCCAAGCUCUCUGCAUAGUUGUUGGACAUCUGCUUUUUUCCAAAAUAGCUUGAGUUUGUCAAAGAACUGGCAAUCUUGACUCAUUUCUUCACUGCUUGUGCAUCCCAAUACCCACUGAAAACUAAUUUAUCUUAAGACAAGCAUAGUAUUCUUCCAUUGAGGACAAAGUCUGAGACCCAAGAGAAAGGGAACUGAGGAGGAGUGGAAGAAGAACGGAUGGUUGACUGAAAAUCGUUGCUUGGUUGCACUUGAGCUAGGAAGGAUGCUAAGAAGAAAGGCAAAGUUGAUCUGCAAAAUGGAAUGACUUCCACCUGAAAAGAAUAAGCAGUCUAGAGCUCUUCAACUUGGAAAACAAACCGUGGGAGGAAACAGGGAGAUGUGAUAAAUUUUAUAAUAUCGUAAGUGGUGCAGAGAAGGUGAUUAAGGAGUGGCAAUUAAUUACUUCUCACAGUAUGAAAACAAC